RNAcentral lists this ribosomal RNA (253 nucleotides) under uncultured bacterium. RNAcentral describes it as "partial 16S ribosomal RNA". It matches the Rfam family "Bacterial small subunit ribosomal RNA", at positions 524 to 776 of the family's 1533-position model. The record is from RNAcentral.
UACGGGGGGGGCAAGCGUUGUUCGGAAUUACUGGGCGUAAAGGGCUCGUAGGCGGCCAACUAAGUCGGAUGUGAAAUCCCCAGGCUCAACUUGGGAACUGCAUCCGAUACUGGAUGGCUUGAAUUCGGGAGAGGGAUGCAGAAUUCCAGGUGUAGCGGUGAAAUGCGUAGAUAUCUGGAGGAAUACCGGUGGCGAAGGCGGCAUCCUGGACCGACAUUGACGCUGAGGAGCGAAAGCUGGGGGAGCAAACGGG